GACUCCUUCUUUUCUGGAAUAUCCAGGCCUAAAGAGAUCAGCCAGGAGAUGUAAGAUUCCUUGUAGAAGUCUUUGUAUUCACACACCUUACUCACUCUAUUGAACUCUGCUUGUUACUGUCUCACAUUGUACCAGCCUGUGAGGCAGUCGUGCGUCUAUGGUUGGAUUCUCUUCAAGCUUAUGGUAAGGACAGUAUUGUGUUUCAAGUGCAUUUGACUUUCAGUUAUCUCUGCUAUUGUAGGGAGCACUAGUUUAGGUAAUUCAGAGCUUAAGAAAUUUCUUGUUUUAAAAAUCAUACUUAUUUUAGUGUUUGGGGAUCAUACUGAUGGAAUGAAUUUGCAUUUCUAUUUCUAAACCUGAAUUACCUGAUAGGAAAAUAUACUGAUAGUCAAGAACCAUCAAUCUUGAAUUAAAAAUUUUGCCUCAGAAAUCCAUAAAAUGAACAGUCCAUAUGAGGAUAAUUAAGACUGGGCUACACUGAGUCUAUUAAUGAAGACCGAUUUCUUUUCAAAUAUCUGUGUGGGUCCAAUGUGGCCUCUCAGCUGUCUGCUUUAUUCCUAAGAGCGAUUGGUAGAAGAUGCCUAUGUUGCAUUCUGAAUAAGUCUUUACUCACAAUAUCUGGAGAAGUCCUGUUGUAUCAGACUGCAUUGUUGAAGAUUAAGCUGGCCUUUUCAAAGGAUUUGAGCUUUGUAUAGGCUCUGCCGGUAUUAGCUCCUUUGAAAUCUAUUAGAUUUUUUCCUCCUGAAGUAAACUUGUUGAAAAUAUGGCCAAUUUAAGAAAAAAAGAGAAAAAGGAAGGCGACAUGUCCAUGCUUAAGAAGUAAACCAAAAAA
Molecule: long non-coding RNA, 832 nt
Filed under: Bos taurus (domestic cattle)
Lineage: Eukaryota; Metazoa; Chordata; Mammalia; Artiodactyla; Bovidae
Description: long non-coding RNA NONBTAT018015
Source: RNAcentral